GACGAACGCUGGCGGCGUGCUUAACACAUGCAAGUCGAACGGUAAGGCCCUUCGGGGUACACGAGUGCGAACGGGUGAGUAACACGUGGGUGAUCUGCCCUGCACUUCGGGAUAAGCCUGGGAAACUGGGUCUAAUACCGGAUAGGACCACUGCCUGCAUGGGUGGUGGUGGAAAGCUUUUGCGGUGUGGGAUGGGCCCGCGGCCUAUCAGCUUGUUGGUGGGGUGAUGGCCUACCAAGGCGACGACGGGUAGCCGGCCUGAGAGGGUGACCGGCCACACUGGGACUGAGAUACGGCCCAGACUCCUACGGGAGGCAGCAGAGGGGAAUAUUGCACAAUGGGCGCAAGCCUGAUGCAGCGACGCCGCGUGAGGGAUGACGGCCUUCGGGUUGUAAACCUCUUUCAGCACCGACGAAGCGCAAGUGACGGUAGGUGCAGAAGAAGGACCGGCCAACUACGUGCCAGCCGCCGCGGUAA
Molecule: ribosomal RNA, 477 nt
Filed under: uncultured bacterium
Lineage: Bacteria
Description: partial 16S ribosomal RNA
Rfam family: Bacterial small subunit ribosomal RNA
Source: RNAcentral